RNAcentral lists this ribosomal RNA (1308 nucleotides) under uncultured Vibrio sp. Its description in RNAcentral is "16S ribosomal RNA". It matches the Rfam family "Bacterial small subunit ribosomal RNA". Lineage: Bacteria; Pseudomonadati; Pseudomonadota; Gammaproteobacteria; Vibrionales; Vibrionaceae. The record is from RNAcentral.
AGAGUUUGAUUCUGGCUCAGAUUAACGCUGGCGGCAGGCCUAACACAUGCAAGUCGAGCGGCCGAGGCGGCGAGCGGCGGACGGGUGAGUAGUGCCUGGGAAAUUGCCCUGAUGUGGGGGAUAACCAUUGGAAACGAUGGCUAAUACCGCAUGAGCUUCGGCUCAAAGAGGGGCCUUCGGGCCUCUCGCGUCAGGAUAUGCCCAGGUGGGAUUAGCUAGUUGGUGAGGUAAGGGCUCACCAAGGCGACGAUCCCUAGCUGGUCUGAGAGGAUGAUCAGCCACACUGGAACUGAGACACGGUCCAGACUCCUACGGGAGGCAGCAGUGGGGAAUAUUGCACAAUGGGCGCAAGCCUGAUGCAGCCAUGCCGCGUGUAUGAGGUCGUUGAGUACUUUCAGCAGUGUUAAUAGAGCUGCAGAAGAAGCACCGGCAACUCCGUGCCAGCAGCCGCGGUAAUACGGAGGGUGCGAGCGUUAAUCGGAAUUACUGGGCGUAAAGCGCAUGCAGGUGGUUUGUUAAGUCAGAUGUGAAAGCCCGGGGCUCAACCUCGGAAUUGCAUUUGAAACUGGCAGGCUAGAGUACUGUAGAGGGGGGUAGAAUUUCAGGUGUAGCGGUGAAAUGCGUAGAGAUCUGAAGGAAUACCGGUGGCGAAGGCGGCCCCCUGGACAAUACUGACACUCAGAUGCGAAAGCGUGGGGAGCAAACAGGAUUAGAUACCCUGGUAGUCCACGCCGUAAACGAUGUCUACUUGGAGGUUGUGGCCUUGAGCCGUGGCUUUCGGAGCUAACGCGUUAAGUAGACCGCCUGGGGAGUACGGUCGCAAGAUUAAAACUCAAAUGAAUUGACGGGGGCCCGCACAAGCGGUGGAGCAUGUGGUUUAAUUCGAUGCAACGCGAAGAACCUUACCUACUCCAUCCAGAGAACUUAGCAGAGAUGCUUUGGUUCGCUCUGGAAGGUGCUGCAUGGCUGUCGUCAGCUCGUGUUGUGAAAUGUUGGGUUAAGUCCCGCAACGAGCGCAACCCUUAUCCUUGUUUGCCAGCGAGUAAUGUCGGGAACUCCAGGGAGACUGCCGGUGAUAAACCGGAGGAAGGUGGGGACGACGUCAAGUCAUCAUGGCCCUUACGAGUAGGGCUACACACGUGCUACAAUGGCGCAUACAGAGGGCGGCCAACUUGCGAAAGUGAGCGAUCCCAAAAAGUGCGUCGUAGUCCGGAUUGGAGUCUGCAACUCGACUCCAUGAAGUCGGAAUCGCUAGUAAUCGUGAAUCAGAAUGUCACGGUGAAUACGUUCCCGGGCCUUGCACUCACC